Corticium candelabrum is the source of this 391-nucleotide long non-coding RNA. RefSeq lists it as uncharacterized. The transcript has 4 exons. Lineage: Eukaryota; Metazoa; Porifera; Homoscleromorpha; Homosclerophorida; Plakinidae. The record is from RefSeq and is a predicted model, not a curated record.
CGUAUGUUCACAACGACUUCGAUGAUAAGAGAGCUACUACAGCUCUGUAUGAACCCACCUUCUCGUGGAACGAGAGCGUAUUUUCCGACAGUCGCAGAGCAAUUUGCCAACAGUCUAACUCAUGGACUCGGGAUAGUGCCAGCUGUGUUCGGGACAGGUUUCAUGAUGCAACGAGCUCAAACAUGUGGACAGCUGCUUAGUGCUUUCGUAUUUGGAUUCGGUCUUGUCCUUCUGCUUUUCGCAUCUACAAGUUUUCACUUGUAUUCUCUGUUUCACUGGCGAAAACGAUGGUUUCACACCUUGCAAGUGUGUGACAGAAGUAGCAUCUACUUCUAUAUCGCUUCGUCCUACACGCCCUGCCGAGACAAGCUUCAGCUGCGGCAAGAGGAAU